This 227-nucleotide ribosomal RNA is filed under the name uncultured bacterium. RNAcentral describes it as "partial 16S ribosomal RNA". It matches the Rfam family "Bacterial small subunit ribosomal RNA", at positions 383 to 607 of the family's 1533-position model. The record is from RNAcentral.
CUGAACCAGCCAAGUAGCGUGAAGGAUGACUGCCCUAUGGGUUGUAAACUUCUUUUAUAAAGGAAUAAAGUCGGGUAUGCAUACCCGUUUGCAUGUACUUUAUGAAUAAGGAUCGGCUAACUCCGUGCCAGCAGCCGCGGUCAUACGGAGGAUCCGAGCGUUAUCCGGAUUUAUUGGGUUUAAAGGGAGCGUAGAUGGAUGUUUAAGUCAGUUGUGAAAGUUUGCGG